CCUACGGGAGGCAGCAGUGGGGAAUAUUGCACAAUGGGCGCAAGCCUGAUGCAGCAACGCCGCGUGAGGGACGACGGCCUUCGGGUUGUAAACCUCUUUUAGCAGGGAAGAAGCGAAAGUGACGGUACCUGCAGAAAAAGCGCCGGCUAACUACGUGCCAGCAGCCGCGGUAAUACGUAGGGCGCAAGCGUUAUCCGGAAUUAUUGGGCGUAAAGAGCUCGUAGGCGGUUUGUCGCGUCUGCUGUGAAAUCCGGAGGCUCAACCUCCGGCCUGCAGUGGGUACGGGCAGACUAGAGUGCGGUAGGGGAGAUUGGAAUUCCUGGUGUAGCGGUGGAAUGCGCAGAUAUCAGGAGGAACACCGAUGGCGAAGGCAGAUCUCUGGGCCGUAACUGACGCUGAGGAGCGAAAGGGUGGGGAGCAAACAGGCUUAGAUACCCUGGUAGUCCACCCCGUAAACGUUGGGAACUAGUUGUGGGGUCCAUUCCACGGAUUCCGUGACGCAGCUAACGCAUUAAGUUCCCCGCCUGGGGAGUACGGCCGCAAGGCUAAAACUCAAAUGAAUUGACGG
This 568-nucleotide ribosomal RNA is filed under the name uncultured bacterium. RNAcentral's name for it is "bacterial SSU rRNA". It matches the Rfam family "Bacterial small subunit ribosomal RNA", at positions 338 to 916 of the family's 1533-position model. The record is from RNAcentral.